GUUUGCCAUUGCUUAGUGAUGGUGCAGCUAAAGAUAAUGAGCUUUAGUAUGCUAAUGAAUCAUAUUUUGCUGGUCAUACUUUUUAUUUUUAAAAACUGCUUCAUGAGUCACUAUAGGCUUUGCAGCUCAGGAUGAUUCCCCUCAAUCUUGUGGCCAAGCCUGGCAUGACUACAGUAACAGCCUGAAAGCCCAUCGAUCACCCAAGCAAUCCCCAUAGUCCUUAGGAGACUAUGAAAGUUGUUAGAGGAGAAGGAGGAAGAGGAGGAGGAAGAAGAAGAAAAGGAAGAGGAGAAGGAACAGGAAGAGGAGGAGAAGGAGGAAAGGGUGAGGGAGAAGGAAGAGGAGGAGGAGGAGGAAGAGAACAGUGACUGGAAAGAUGGGUGGGACCACUUUGAAGAACUAUAAACUCUAAACAAAAGAGUCUAUAUUUAAUCCUAGAUUAAAUUUCACUUAACUCUAUUUGCCUCCGUUUUCUCAUUAUAAAAGGAGCUGGAGAAGGAAACACCAAACCACUCUAGUAUCUUUGCCAAGAAAACCCCAAAUAGGGUCAGGAAAAGUCAGAAACUGCUGAAGUAAUUGAAUAACAAUAAAGUUUACAGGAGAGGGAAAAGACA
Molecule: long non-coding RNA, 614 nt
Filed under: Monodelphis domestica (gray short-tailed opossum)
Lineage: Eukaryota; Metazoa; Chordata; Mammalia; Didelphimorphia; Didelphidae
Description: lncRNA (ENSMODG00000035595.2)
Source: RNAcentral